This 492-nucleotide ribosomal RNA is filed under the name uncultured bacterium. Its description in RNAcentral is "partial 16S ribosomal RNA". It matches the Rfam family "Bacterial small subunit ribosomal RNA", at positions 29 to 507 of the family's 1533-position model. The record is from RNAcentral.
AGCGAACGCUGGCGGUAGGCCUAACACAUGCAAGUCGAACGGCAGCACAGUAAGAGCUUGCUCUUAUGGGUGGCGAGUGGCGGACGGGUGAGGAAUACAUCGGAAUCUACUCUUUCGUGGGGGAUAACGUAGGGAAACCUACGCUAAUAUCGCAUAUGACCUACGGGUGAAAGCAGGGGAUCUUCGGACCUUGUGCGAUUGAAUGAGCCGAUGUCGGAUUAGCUAGUUGGCGGGGUAAAGGCCCACCAAGGCGACGAUCCGUAGCUGGUCUGAGAGGAUGGUCGGCCACACUGGAACUGAGACACGGUCCAUACACCUACGAGAGGCAGCAGUGGGGAAUAUUGGACAAUGGGCGCAAGCCUGAUCCAGCCGUACCGCGUGGGUGAAGAAGGCCUUCGGGUUGUAAAGCCGUUUUGUUGGGAAAGAAAAGCAGCAGGUUAAUACCCCGCUGUUCUGACGGUACCCAAAGAAUAAGCACCGGCUAACUACGUG